CCUACGGGUGGCAGCAGUGAGGAAUAUUGGUCAAUGGGCGCGAGCCUGAACCAGCCAAGUAGCGUGAAGGAUGACUGCCCUACGGGUUGUAAACUUCUUUUAUAAAGGAAUAAAGGACGGCACGUGUGCCUUUUUGAAUGUACUUUAUGAAUAAGGAUCGGUUAACUCCGUGCCAGCAGCCGCGGUAAUACGGAGGAUCCGAGGUUUAUCGGGUUUUAUUGGGUUUAAGGGGUCCGUAGGCGGGCUGUUAAGUCAGCGGUAAAAGCCCGGGGCCAAACCCCAGCGAGCCGUUGAAACUGGCAGCCUUGAGAAGUGGAGAGGUAUGCGGAAUGCGUGGUGUAGCGGUGAAAUGCUUAGAUAUGGCGAAGAACUCCGAUUGCGAAGGCAGCAUACCGACGGGCCACUGACGCUGAGGCUCGAAAGCGUGGGUAUCGAACAGGAUUAGAUACCCUUGUAGUC
Molecule: ribosomal RNA, 459 nt
Filed under: uncultured bacterium
Lineage: Bacteria
Description: partial 16S ribosomal RNA
Rfam family: Bacterial small subunit ribosomal RNA
Source: RNAcentral